Schistosoma rodhaini is the source of this 45-nucleotide non-coding RNA. The record is from Rfam. NCBI's taxonomy places the organism in Eukaryota, Metazoa, Platyhelminthes, Trematoda, Strigeidida, Schistosomatidae.
AUCCAGUUGAUUCGUCCCAAAUAGGACGAAACGCAUGUCCUGGAU